This 69-nucleotide small RNA is filed under the name uncultured Enterovibrio sp. RNAcentral's name for it is "Retron msr RNA". It matches the Rfam family "Retron msr RNA". Rfam says of the family: Retron elements are found in a wide range of mainly Gram-negative bacteria. The retron encodes a reverse transcriptase that is responsible for the production of a small satellite DNA called msDNA (multi-copy single-stranded DNA). msDNA has both DNA (encoded by the retron msd gene) and RNA (encoded by the msr gene) components. Lineage: Bacteria; Pseudomonadati; Pseudomonadota; Gammaproteobacteria; Vibrionales; Vibrionaceae. The record is from RNAcentral.
GCUCUUUAGCUUUAGGCUUACCAGUCUUAGCCUAGUCGGGCGAUUAGCCAGACUCAAAUUUAUUGAACG